This 1866-nucleotide long non-coding RNA is filed under the name Triticum aestivum (bread wheat). RNAcentral describes it as "long non-coding RNA (TAES_LNC013534)". Lineage: Eukaryota; Viridiplantae; Streptophyta; Magnoliopsida; Poales; Poaceae. The record is from RNAcentral.
UUCUAUGUAUAGCUCACAUCGUAUAGCAAAUUUAAGGCAUAUCAUUGGGUCCCAUCACAUGUUUUGGGGCGGAGUAAAGGGGGCAUCAUGCAUGCAUGGCUCUGAGUUGGGCAGUACUGGAUUAGGCAGUACUGAAACUGAUUGAAAUAUGAAAUUGAAAUUGACGUGAGAUUGAAAUAUGAAAUUAGAAGGCAUAAUGUGAGACUGAAACAUGAAAUUGAAAUUGAAAUUUUCAGACCAGACCAGUUUCAGUAAUACGACCAUUUCAAUAAAUGUGAGACCAAAAUAUAAAAUUUAAAUGCAACAAUUAUAUAUAAUGCAAACAAAGAUCAUGCAUUUAAAAAUUAGUUCCAUAUUUCAAAGAAAUGUUCACAAACUUGAAAAAAAGUUACACAGAUUUGGAAAAUGUUCACAAAUUCGAAGAAGUUCACAUAAAAAAAUAAGAAAACAAAGAAAAAUGAAAAGUCCCUAAGAAAAACCGCCCAAACAAAUAACCCAGCAGAAAAAAAAAGGAACCCAGAAGUUGCUAGAAGCUUCCCAAAACUGAAUAUAUAUACUACUGUUGUAUUACAUGGAUAUAUAUAUACUACUGAAUAUAUAUACUACUGUUGUAUUACAUGGGCUGUCCUGUUAGUACCGGCGGGGGUGUGCGCCAUAUACCAAAUUGUCUAUAAGUGGCGCCUUGAGCGCCGAAUAGGAAUGGGCGUGGAAAUGGUCCACUUACAGACCUCUGGGUACGUACAGAGUUCAUCAAGCCUUUACUUGCAAAAAAAAAGGUUCAUCUAGCCAGUCAGUGAGCGAAAGUACCUUUCUACACCUGAGCUCAUAUGCUCCUGGUGUGAAAAGUAAACUAAAUAAAAUAAAAGAACAUUUCAAAAAAUUCAGAAUUUCUUUUAUGGCAUACUUUAAGAAAUGUUUGUUGUGCAUGCAAAAUUUCAUCACGAAAUCACAUUGGUGGAAGUCGUGACAAAAAAAACAAAAUCAGAGUUCCAAAAUGCGUUUGAAAGUAACAUUUUCAGAGUUUCAAUUUUGUUUUUACCAUGCCUUCCACCAAUGUCAUCUCGUGAUGAAAUUUUGCAUGCACAACAAACAUCUCUUAAAGUAUGCCGCAAUUUUUUUUUCAGAAUUUUUCUAAAUAUUUUCUAUUUUAUUUAGUUUACUGUUCACACCAGGAGCAUAUGAGCUCAGGUGUAGAAACUCCACGUCCGUCAGUGAGGUCUUUUAUAGAGGUAAGUAGGCUUACGGCUUAGAGCAAUUCUAGCAGAUCCGGCAAACGUCUAUUCCAAAAAAAUAAAUCCUUCAAACAUAUACCACAUAUUAAAAUUCGCAGUUUGCGCCACUUGAAACAUCACCUGAGUUCAUCAUAUAUAAAACAUAACCGGAGUUCAUACUUAGAACAUACUCCCUCUGCUAGUGUCAAAAAUGAUUUUAUAUUCUGGGACGGAGGGAGUAGUUUAGACUUAAACAACAACGGAGUUCAUAGUUAAACAAUUUUCACACUAGCAUAAAACGGAAAUUAAACUAGAUCUACUCGUCACCGGACUUGCCAUCACCGGACUUGUCGACGCUAAGGUGGUGCUCCAUCAGGGAGUUGGAGAGAACGAAGGCGAGUUGGUACUCCUCCCUUGCCUCGAACCAUGGGGCAGCCGCCUCCUUCGCCUCGAACAAUGCGACCUCCACCGCCCGGAGACGCCUCAGCGCGGGGGAAGAGGCGGUCCUACCGAUUGAACUGGGUCCACGCCCGUGCUCCGGCGCACGGGUGCCACGCGUGCACGCCACUCAUCCACCAACGGGCGGAGGGAGGGGCUCCUGGCCUCAGCGUCGUUGCGGCGCUUGCGAGGCGGCUUGCCGCCGGGACCGCCGNNN